AAAAAAUAAUAAUAAUAAUAAAAAUAAGGAUAGCAGGGUCUUGAACGAAGGUAGGACCCGAAGUCGGGCAGAAAAGUAGAAAAAUUUGCGCUCAGGUCGGGAGGUCCUCAAGACGGAAAGUGGUCAGGUCGGGAAGUCCUCAGGUCGGGAGGUCCUCAAGACAGAAAGUGGUCAGGACGGGAAGUGCUUAGGUCGGGAAGUCCUCAGGUAGGGAGGUCCUCAAGACGGAAAGUGGUCAGGUCGGGAAGUCCUCAGGUCGGGAUUUCCUCAAGACGGAAAGUGGUCAGGACGGGAAGUCCUUAGGUCGGGAAGUCCUCAAGACGGAAAGUGGUCAGGACGGGAAGUCCUUAGGUCGGAAAGUCCUCAAGACGGAAAGUGGUCAGGUCCGGAAGUCCUCAGGUCGGGAG
Molecule: long non-coding RNA, 407 nt
Organism: Andrographis paniculata
Lineage: Eukaryota; Viridiplantae; Streptophyta; Magnoliopsida; Lamiales; Acanthaceae
Exons: 3
Source: RefSeq, a predicted model, not a curated record